This 253-nucleotide ribosomal RNA is filed under the name uncultured bacterium. Its description in RNAcentral is "partial 16S ribosomal RNA". It matches the Rfam family "Bacterial small subunit ribosomal RNA", at positions 524 to 776 of the family's 1533-position model. The record is from RNAcentral.
CACGUAGGGCGCAAGCGUUGUCCGGAAUUAUUGGGCGUAAAGAGCUCGUAGGCGGUCUGUCGCGUCUGUUGUGAAAACUCGAGGCUCAACCUCGGGCUUGCAGUGGAUACGGGCAGACUAGAGUGCGGUAGGGGAGACUGGAAUUCCUGGUGUAGCGGUGGAAUGCGCAGAUAUCAGGAGGAACACCGAUGGCGAAGGCAGGUCUCUGGGCCGCAACUGACGCUGAGGAGCGGAAGCAUGGGGAGCGAACAGG